CCCUGCCUUACACUGUCUGGGGAAGGAAGAUACACAUCAAUGAAGAGCCCCCAGGGGUGGCAGGUGGGGCUGGCAUCACCCUGAGGGGACACCCACUUCUGCUCCUCCCUCUAUUUCCUCACUCCAGCCCCAACCCCAGGCCUCCCACUCACCGGUAGGCCUGUUGGAUGCUGAUGUUCUUCCUCAGGCCAAGAAGCUCCGGCACACCAGCGUCUGCACAUUGCCGCCCACCAGGAAAGUGGCGAAGACGAGGAGGAUGAGGGGGGCGGCGAAGAGGAAGCUGAAGGCCACACCUCUGGAGUUGAGAGACAUGGCUGAAGGGAUGUGGAAGCUGACUGCCCUGGACCAGUGCUUGUCCCCACCCACACCCUGGGACCAGCACGGCUGGCCACGAGCUGGCAACAAGGCAUGCCUCCUGGGCAAAGAAGGCGAAUCCAGCACUCCUGGCAGCUCCUUGGCACCCUCCCCCUCCCCCAUCCAAUUGCUGGGUCCUGCUGCCCUGGAAGCCGAGAGGAAGGACACCUGUUUGUUCAAAGAGCCAUUUCUGGACUUAUGGUCCGUGGAAGUGACCUGCUCCACCAGUGUUCAACCUUUCUAAGUCGUCACUGGCAUAGCGAGACAUGAGUCACCUACAUAGAUAACACUUCAAAGAGACUGCGCAGUCGGGUCCCUUCCACCAGGGCCCCUGACUUACAGAGCCUCUUUGUGCGUGGGCACAGCCCCAUGCCGGGCCGUGAGGUUUGGAGAGUGACAUGUGGGGUGGAUUGCAGCUCCUCAUUAUUCCCUUUGACCAGGCACCUUGUGUGAUAAACAGCCUGGCCAACCGUA
Peromyscus maniculatus bairdii (prairie deer mouse) is the source of this 828-nucleotide non-coding RNA. The record is from RefSeq and is a predicted model, not a curated record. Lineage: Eukaryota; Metazoa; Chordata; Mammalia; Rodentia; Cricetidae.